UCACAAUAAAAUAUUCUGAAAUAACAGUUAGAACAAUAUUUUGAUCUUUUUAGAAACUAUGCCAGAUUCACCAGGCUCAGAAGAUAGUGGCAUUUGUGGAAAUCGAAAGAGUAAGUUUUUCUUCAGAUUUAAAAAAACUACACUAUAUACAUUAUUUAUGUUUGUACUAAAAACAAAUUAUGCAUUGUCAUUUUGGCUUUUAAAAAGAAAUAAAGUGACAUUAAACUGUUAGUCAUGCAUAGGGUCAUUUACGAAGAAGAUAAAGACCAGCAGACAAACAAUAAUACACAAACACAGCAUAGAAAACUUAAGACUCAACAACACGAACCCACCAAACAUUUGGGUGCACAAUUUGUACAAAGAGACAAACAGAGUUUGUAAAUUAAAGAAAUACAGGUGCGUCAAUCAUGAUACAUGUAUUCAUUAUGGCAUUUUGUAGAUUUGAAAAAAAGCCUCAUGAAAUAUGAAUUAAAGCAAGCUUAUAUUAAAAACCAUUGCGAGCCAUUCACUGGAUUGUCUUAUGACAGCUGUGUCGUUUUAUACAAUCCAGUGAGUGGCUCGGAAUGGUUUUUAAUAUAAAUAAUGUGAUAUUCUGAUAUUACUUUAUGUUGUUUUAUUUUUACUUGAUGAUAUUAUGUCUUAACAUAAUAUGGUUUUUACAUUACGUAAUGAUGUUUUGAUAAAAUUCAAUAUGGAUUAGUCAUUACUUAAUGAUAUUUAAAUACGAACUUAUAUUAGAUAACUCGAAUUUCAACUUGAAAUCUGAAUCUAAAUAUAACAGGGUGAAUUUAAUGCUCGUAUAACAAACUAUGUUUAGAGUUUUUCAUACUUUAUUACUAUUCAGGAAAUAUAACAAUAAAAUCAUGAAAUAAAAAUAACAAAUUUAUAAUAAGGUUAAUAGUUAUCACAGUUACAUAUGAAAUAAUGACACAAUUAUAUUUAUAAUAGCUGACGUCAUUAAAUAAAUACAAAGUUAAAAUAUCAUAUCAUAGCCAGAACGAUAUAUAACGAAGUAUAUAAUGAACAUUUAAAUAUAACUAUCAAACAAUCUUAAAUGAAACACUCUGUUAACAUGUGUACAUGUAAAGGUGUCACAGUAUAUCAAUAAUACGCAAAAUAAUUUGAGAUCAAGAUAAGCCUUACCAAUUUGUGGAAGAAUCAGGCUAUACAAAAACAUCAACAGCAUUACAUUAGCAUUAUAUCCAAUGCUCUACAUCUAUCAUCAAAUACAUGUCUGUAUGAUCAAUGGGUCCUACACAAUAAGUAUUCAAAUGCACAUUAAAGUUCCAUAUAAGCAAAUCAUUACAAUGUUUUUAAUACCUAUAACCUUGGUUAAAAAAUAUUCAAUCACACAAAAAUUACUGGCUAUGACGUUGUAAAAAUGUAUCAGUAUUAAACAAUUUGGCGUCAAAGAUUCAUGACAUUAAGGUUAAAGCUCCCUCUCAGAAUCAUUCAAAAAUCUAUUUCCCUACAGGUACUUGCAAACUACGCUUUCAUAUAAAUCAUACAUUGAGGCAACUCUAUUACACACAUUUUCAUAAUAAAGGGACAUAGGGUGAUACCUACCAAAUAGGACUUAAAGCAUUCCAUGCAAUGCAUUCGUCUCUCAUAAACCUCAAUGAAAGAAAGUGCAUUCUUACCUCAUAAAGUAAAUAUAAUAAGUUCCAUAUGUCCAAAAUACUGCAAAUGACUAUCAAUUAAAUAUCUUUCAAUUCCAUACCAUGUCGAAAUAGCAUAAAUUUUCUAACUUAUGAUAUAUAAAUUGUACAGGUAAAAACAGCUAUCAAUGUGCAGUCAAGCACAGCUGAUUAAUACUUAAUACUCAAAUGAUAAAAACUCGGGCUCUACCUUUAAAUGUGACUCAAACUCGAAGUUCAACUCGAAACUCAAUGCUAUCUAGAACUUUAAUUCUAAAAAUGGCUUGAAUUUUAACUCGAGAUGGAAGACAAACUCAAGAGUUCAACUCGAUCAGUAACCGAACUUUAAUUUGAACUCUUAACUCGAUGGAUGGCCACACUCAUCCAAGGAACAUAAGACAUGGAAAUCUAUUUAAACAUAGAACUUGUUUUUCCGAAUUGACCACGUGGGUUUAUCUUAUCAAGUAAUGGGAUAACCAGAUAAAAAAAAUUGACAAGACUACAUAAAAUACUGUAACUAACAAAUCAUGUAGUGUAUAAUCGUCGUUCGGAAACAUCAUUACGUAUAAAUGUUAAAACCAUAUAAAGAAUAGGCAAAUCAUAAAUACGAAAUUAUAAAACCACAGCAUGUAAUGAAACAACUGCAUUACGUUAAGUCACAUACACACCAAGUAACAUUGCCUGAUUACACAACCACUUUGAAUAAUGAUGAAACUACAUCGAGUAAUGACAAAACCAUAUUAAGUCAAUACGAAACCAUGUCGUGUAAUAUCGAAAUUUCAUUAAGUAAUGACUAUUCGAUAUUGAGUUUCAUCCAAACAUCAUAACUUUAUGUCAAAACCAUAUUAUAUACAGAUAAAAUAUCAUCAAGAAUUAAUGAUAGUUUUUAUUGAUAAAAUCUUAACGAAACAUACAAAUAUGUCAAUGUAUUCAUAUUCAUAGGGAAAUUUUCAAAUGAGAAGCUAUACCACAAAUUAAUGUCACCUAGUACUUUAAGCCCGGAAUCAAUCGUAAGUACUUCUUUCAGAUAAUUCAAUAUUAUUAAAUGAAAGACAAGAAUACAAAUAUUUACCAUAGCACAAUAACAUAAUGACGGGAUGUAUAAGUACAAAGCCACGUUAUAUGUAUAAAAAACAAAAAGGCAUAUGGCCAAAGCAUAUAAAACGGCACUAGAAUUAACUGUUACAAUUUAUUUGUUUGUUAACAAUCAAACAAAAAAUAAUAGAUAGAAAACACUGUUACGCUCUCGUGGUUACUCUAGAGAAAAUGCCGCCUUUUACUGCGAUCUUGUAACCAUUAGGCAUGUAAAAAGAUAUGUAUAUAAACCAACAUCAAAUAACAACACACCUUUAUUAGUAACUGAAAAACUCAUAUUUUAUGUCAAACAUCCAUCUUAAAACCUGAGACUGCAAAUUUGAAAUUCUUGUAAUUGAUUUUAAAAAGAAAGAAGAAAUAAUGACAAUCCUGUAUUAGGCUGAUAAGAAUUUUAAAUCUUUGUAUACCUUAACCAUUCGGAGAUAAUUAACCACCAACAACUAGAUUGUGUCAGUGAGUUGAAACUACGAUCAUUGGUUCUCCCUAUAAAUCACCUUCUUCUUUCAACAAUUAACAGCGGUCAGUAUGAAAGAGCAGUAAGUGAUGUGAGUAGAGUUAAAUUUAAACAACAAAAACAAGAAAAAUUAGUGUGAUACGUAACGCAUAGUAUUUUUUUUCUAAUUUUCAAAUUCAAAGGGUCACAUACGUAGUCAUGUGGUCACAUCCCACUGCAUAUGAUCGUUUUAAUAAAAAUAUUCUUUUUACAGAACAAACGUGCCAGAGAAUGUCUAGAAGAAUGUAAUGACAUUUACGAUUAAUAUUAAGGAGGAACCUAAAACGUUUGCUGGACACUGCAGUACAACUGAAGUGAUAACAUUCUUGUAAUGACAUUAACAGUAACAAUUUUACUACAUCAGCUGCGUAUUUCGACAAUUAAUAUCGCUUCAGUGAUGUUCGAGGCCAAGAUGUUAUACAGCCAAAGUAAAACAAAAUGCAGAAAUGUUGAUUGUGUGACUUCGUG
RNAcentral lists this long non-coding RNA (3693 nucleotides) under Mytilus galloprovincialis (Mediterranean mussel). Lineage: Eukaryota; Metazoa; Mollusca; Bivalvia; Mytilida; Mytilidae. The record is from RNAcentral.